GACGAACGCUGGCGGCGUGCCUAAUACAUGCAAGUCGAGCGCAGGAAGCUGACGGAACUCUUCGGAGGGAAGGCAGUGGAAUGAGCGGCGGACGGGUGAGUAACACGUAAGGAACCUGCCUCAAGGGUUGGGAUAACUCCGAGAAAUCGGAGCUAAUACCGGAUAGUUCAUCGGACCGCAUGGUCCGUUGAUGAAAGGCGCUUCGGCGUCACCUUGAGAUGGCCUUGCGGUGCAUUAGCUAGUUGGUGGGGUAACGGCCACCAAGGCGACGAUGCAUAGCCGACCUGAGAGGGUGAUCGGCCACACUGGGACUGAGACACGGCCCAGACUCCUACGGGAGGCAGCAGUAGGGAAUCUUCCACAAUGGACGAAAGUCUGAUGGAGCAACGCCGCGUGAGUGAUGAAGGUUUUCGGAUCGUAAAACUCUGUUGUAAGGGAAGAACACGUACGAGAGGGAAUGCUCGUACCUUGACGGUACCUUACGAGAAAGCCACGGCUAACUACGUGCCAGCCGCCGCCGUAA
Molecule: ribosomal RNA, 523 nt
Filed under: uncultured bacterium
Lineage: Bacteria
Description: partial 16S ribosomal RNA
Rfam family: Bacterial small subunit ribosomal RNA
Source: RNAcentral